UACGUAGGGUGCAAGCGUUGUCCGGAAUUAUUGGGCGUAAAGAGCUCGUAGGCGGUUCGUCACGUCGGCUGUGAAAACCUGAGGCUCAACCUCAGGCCUGCAGUCGAUACGGGCGGACUCGAGUUCGGCAGGGGAGACUGGAAUUCCUGGUGUAGCGGUGAAAUGCGCAGAUAUCAGGAGGAACACCGGUGGCGAAGGCGGCUCACUGGCCCGGUACUGACGCUGAGGUGCGAAAGCGUGGGGAGCAAACAGG
This 253-nucleotide ribosomal RNA is filed under the name uncultured bacterium. Its description in RNAcentral is "partial 16S ribosomal RNA". It matches the Rfam family "Bacterial small subunit ribosomal RNA", at positions 524 to 776 of the family's 1533-position model. The record is from RNAcentral.